GUGGGGAAUAUUGCACAAUGGAGGGAACUCUGAUGCAGCGAUGCCGCGUGGAGGAAGAAGGUUUUCGGAUUGUAAACUCCUUUUAUCAGGGACGAUAAUGACGGUACCUGAAGAAAAAGCUCCGGCUAACUACGUGCCAGCAGCCGCGGUAAUACGUAGGGAGCGAGCGUUGUCCGGAAUUACUGGGUGUAAAGGGAGCGUAGGCGGGAUAGCAAGUCAGAUGUGAAAACUAUGGGCUCAACCUGUAGAUUGCAUUUGAAACUGUUGUUCUUGAGUGAAGUAGAGGUAAGCGGAAUUCCUAGUGUAGCGGUGAAAUGCGUAGAUAUUAGGAGGAACAUCGGUGGCGAAGGCGGCUUACUGGGCUUUUACUGACGCUGAGGCUCGAAAGCGUGGGGAGCAAACAGGA
Molecule: ribosomal RNA, 406 nt
Filed under: uncultured bacterium
Lineage: Bacteria
Description: bacterial SSU rRNA
Rfam family: Bacterial small subunit ribosomal RNA
Source: RNAcentral